CAGUAGCCGCGGUAAUACGUAGGUGGCUAGCGUUGUUCGGAUUUACUGGGCGUAAAGGGCGCGUAGGCGGACUGAUAAGUCAGGGGUGAAAUCCCAAGGCUCAACCUUGGAACUGCCUUUGAUACUGUUUGUCUUGAGUUCGAGAGAGGUAAGUGGAACUGCGAGUGUAGAGGUGAAAUUCGUAGAUAUUCGCAAGAACACCAGUGGCGAAGGCGGCUUACUGGCUCGAUACCGACGCUGAGGCGCGAAAGCGUGGGGAGCAAACAGGAUUAGAUACCCUAGUAGUCCCUGUCUCUUAUAC
Molecule: ribosomal RNA, 301 nt
Filed under: uncultured bacterium
Lineage: Bacteria
Description: partial 16S ribosomal RNA
Rfam family: Bacterial small subunit ribosomal RNA
Source: RNAcentral